GAGUAAUUAGAGUGUUCAAAGCAGCCUGUAUGGGCAUUGAAUAGAUUAGCAUGGGAUAAUAGAAUAGGAUUCUUACCUAUUUAUUGGUUUAUAGGUUUAGAAUAAUGAUUAAUAGGGAUAGUUGGGGGCACUUGUAUUCAAUAGUCAGAGGUGAAAUUCUAGGAUUUAUUGAAGACAAACUUCAGCGAAAGCAUUUGCCAAGGAUGUUUUCAUUAAUCAAGAACGAAAGUUAGGGGAUCGAAGACGAUUAGACACCGUCGUAGUCUUAACUAUAAAACUAUGCCGACCAGGGAUAUGAGAGUUUUAUAUUUAUACUAUGAACAAUAGUAUAAUCUCUUGUGGACCUUGUGAGAAAUCAUAAGUUUUUGGGUUCUGGGGGGGAGUAUGGUCGCAAGGCUGAAACUUAAAGGAAUUGACGGAG
RNAcentral lists this ribosomal RNA (421 nucleotides) under uncultured eukaryote. RNAcentral describes it as "bacterial SSU rRNA". It matches the Rfam family "Eukaryotic small subunit ribosomal RNA", at positions 760 to 1161 of the family's 1831-position model. The record is from RNAcentral.